RNAcentral lists this ribosomal RNA (342 nucleotides) under Triticum aestivum (bread wheat). RNAcentral's name for it is "partial small subunit ribosomal RNA". The record is from RNAcentral. Lineage: Eukaryota; Viridiplantae; Streptophyta; Magnoliopsida; Poales; Poaceae.
AUGAAGCAGUCAAUAGACAACAUCUUUCCCACCACCGUGCAUCGCUGUUGUCGAUGGCACAUCAUGAAAAAGGCUCAGGAAAAAGUUGGUUGGCUUUUGUGCCGAAAUCCAGGGCUCUCUGAUGAUUUCAAAUACUGUGUUGACUUUAGCUUCACUCCAGACGAGUUUGAGCAGGAUUGGGCUGGGUUAAUGAUGAAGUACGAGGCUAUGACACACCCACACACACACACUUUGAGAAGUUGUACGAAUACAGGUCAACUUGGGUGCCGUGCUACUUCAAACACAGGUUCUUCCCCUUCCUGCAGUCUACACAAUGUAGUGAGGGGUUCAACACCGUCCUAA